Molecule: ribosomal RNA, 482 nt
Filed under: uncultured Verrucomicrobiaceae bacterium
Lineage: Bacteria; Pseudomonadati; Verrucomicrobiota; Verrucomicrobiia; Verrucomicrobiales; Verrucomicrobiaceae
Description: bacterial SSU rRNA
Rfam family: Bacterial small subunit ribosomal RNA
Source: RNAcentral
CUUAAAGGAAUUGACGGGGACCCGCACAAGCGGUGGAGUAUGUGGCUUAAUUCGAUGCAACGCGAAGAACCUUACCAAGGCUUGACAUGGAUUUCUAAGCACGUGAAAGCGUGUGACCCUUCGGGGAACUUCCACAGGUGCUGCAUGGCCGUCGUCAGCUCGUGUCGUGAGAUGUUGGGUUAAGUCCCGCAACGAGCGCAACCCUUGUGAAUAGUUGCCAGCACGUCAUGGUGGGAACUCUAUUCAGACUGCCCAGAUCAACUGGGAGGAAGGUGGGGACGACGUCAGGUCAGUAUGGCCCUUACGCCUUGGGCUGCACACGUACUACAAUGCCCAGUACAAUGAGAACCGAUGCCGCGAGGUGGAGGAAAUCUGUAAAACUGGGCCCAGUUCGGAUUGGAGGCUGCAACUCGCCUCCAUGAAGUUGGAAUCGCUAGUAAUGGCGCAUCAUCUACGGCGCCGUGAAUACGUUCCCGGGUCUU